RNAcentral lists this ribosomal RNA (1950 nucleotides) under human gut metagenome. Its description in RNAcentral is "bacterial LSU rRNA". It matches the Rfam family "Bacterial large subunit ribosomal RNA", at positions 1 to 1973 of the family's 2925-position model. The record is from RNAcentral.
GAAAAGUUAUAAGGGCAGAUGGCGGAUGCCUAGGCUCUUGGAGGCGAAGAAGGACGUGAUAAGCUGCGAUAAGCUGCGGGGAUUGGCACAUACGAAUUGAUCCGCAGAUUUCCGAAUGGGGCAACCCACUAGACAGGAGGUCUAGUAUCUCGCAAGAGAGGUCAACGGGGGGAACUGAAACAUCUCAGUACCCUCAGGAAAAGAAAACAAAAGUGAUUCCCUUAGUAGUGGCGAGCGAACGGGGAGUAGCCCAAACCGCAGAUGUUUCGGCAUCUACGGGGUUGUAGGAGUAACACCAAUGUACUAUACACAUGUAGAAGAACGACAUGGAAAUGUCGACCAUAGAGGGUGAUAGUCCCGUAUUUGAAACAUGUUUGUAGACAGAGCUACCACCUGAGUAGCGCGGGACACGAGAAAUCCUGUGUGAAUCUGCGGGGCCCAUCCCGUAAGGCUAAAUACUUCCAAGAGACCGAUAGUGAACAAGUACCGUGAGGGAAAGGUGAAAAGAACCUCGAUAAGAGGAGUGCAAUAGACCCUGAAACCAUCUGCUUACAAGCGGUAGGAGCCCCCCUGUGGGGUGACUGCGUGCCUUUUGCAUAAUGAACCUACGAGUUACCGUUGCCGGCAAGGUUAAGUACAGGUAAGUACGGAACCGGAGCGAAAGCGAGUCUGAAUAGGGCGAUGAGUCGGUAGAGGUAGACGCGAAACCAAGUGAUCUACCCUUGGUCAGGUUGAAGGAUAGGUAACACUAUCUGGAGGACCCAACCGGUAAGCGUUGAAAAGCUUUCGGAUGAACUGAGGGUAGGGGUGAAAGGCUAAUCAAACUUGGAGAUAGCUCGUACUCCCCGAAAUGCAUUUAGGUGCAGCCUUUGGUGUUUCUUGUAUGAGGUAGAGCGACUGAUUGGAUGCGAGGCUUUCACCGGCUAUCAAGUCCAGACAAACUCCGAAUGCGUACAAGUCAAAGCCAAGGAGUGAGGGCAUGGGUGCUAAGGUCCAUGUCCUAAAGGAGAACAAUCCGGACCAUCGGCUAAGGUCCCGAAAUCACUACUAAGUUGGACAAACGAAGUCAAGAUGCGAAGACAGCUAGGAUGUUGGCUUGGAAGCAGCCAUUCAUUUAAAGAGUGCGUAACAGCUCACUAGUCGAGGAUUUUGGCGUGGAUAAUAAUCGGGCAUAAGUAGUGUACCGAAGCUGUGGGAUGUGAAUACAUCGGUAGGGGAGCAUUCCUAUUGAGUAGAAGAUACAGGGGCGACCUGUGUUGGAUCGAUAGGAAAAGCAAAUGUAGGUAUAAGUAACGAUAAAGGGGGCGAGAAACCCCCUCGCCGAAAGACUAAGGUUUCCUGAUCAACGCUAAUCGGAUCAGGGUUAGUCGGGGCCUAAGGAUAAGCCUAAUGGCGAUUCCGAUGGAAGAACUGGUUAAUAUUCCAGUACUAAUAUAUUGAGUGAUGUGGAGACGGAGAAGUGACACUACUGCCGACUGACGGAAUAGUUGGUUAAAGGGUGUAGAUAGUUGGUUUGUAGGCAAAUCCGCAGACCGAGUCGAACCUGAGAGUACACUGCGUGCAUGCACAAAGUGAUAAUGUAGGUAAGCCAGCUCCCAAGAAAACCCGCUAAACAAUUGAUAUAUUACCCGUACCACAAACCGACACAGGUGGUUGGGUUGAGUAUACUAAGGCGCUCGAGAGAUUCGCGGUUAAGGAACUAGGCAAAAUGGUCCUGUAACUUCGGGAGAAAGGACGCCAGUGGCGACACUGGCCGCAGAGCAUAGGCCCAUGCGACUGUUUAACAAAAACAUAUGGCUGUGCAAAAUAGAAAUAUCACGUAUACAGCCUGACACCUGCCCGGUGCUGGAAGGUUAAGAGGAGAUGUCAUCGCAAGAGAAGCAUUGAAUUGAAGCCCCAGUAAACGGCGGCCGUAACUAUAACGGUCCUAAGGUAGCGAAAUUCCUUGUC